CUAGUGAAGCCUCGCGACGCAUCGGAGAAACAUCAAAAAAAUUAUUUCGAAGAGUCUUUCUGCGCAAAUCAUCUCUCAGAUUCUUUUCUUGAUGAUUGCCAUGUGUCACGUGCUUCCAGAUGGGCAUGGGAAAUUGGCUUGGGGUGUGAGAAAAUUUGGAUGGGUGUGAGAUGUCGCAUGGAGAGGGCGAGAGUCAAUUUUGAAUGCAUCCCAUCGCUAACUAUAUAAAGGGGGC
Molecule: long non-coding RNA, 235 nt
Filed under: Elaeis guineensis (African oil palm)
Lineage: Eukaryota; Viridiplantae; Streptophyta; Magnoliopsida; Arecales; Arecaceae
Description: long non-coding RNA (EGUI_LNC061944)
Source: RNAcentral